AUAGGUAAGAAAAAAUGUAUGCAAUAUUUCACAAAGGAAUUAUUUUCUGAUUUCUAAUACAUGGUAUGCUUAUGUUCCUAGGUCUCCAUAGGAGAGAAACUCCAUUUUUAUCAAGAUACAAUGAAUACAGUAACAAAAGCACUGAAGAUAAUAGUGACAUUAACAACAACAAUGAUAAUGACGAUGACGACGAAGACGACGACGAUGAAGAUGACGAUGAUGACGAAAACAACGAUGAUGAUGAUGAUGACAAUGAUGAUGAUGAUGAUACUGAGGAAUAUAUAGCUCCAUUUGAAUUGUCAACUGAAGAAACUUCAGCUUCCUUUUCUACUGAAGUGAGUUCUACAUUAAAUGACAGUAUGCAGACCUUGCUAAAGUACUUCCUAAAAUAUAUAAACAACAAAACAAUGUUACCACCAAACCUGAACUAGCAGACCUGUCUUAUUUUCAACCAGCAGAAGGUAUAUCAGACACUUCCUUUUCUAACAGUCCAGCUAGUAGCACAGUCUGGAAGCCUGAAUAUAGAGAAAUAAAAAAAGAAACUUUCAGAACA
RNAcentral lists this long non-coding RNA (553 nucleotides) under Monodelphis domestica (gray short-tailed opossum). Its description in RNAcentral is "lncRNA (ENSMODG00000028559.2)". Lineage: Eukaryota; Metazoa; Chordata; Mammalia; Didelphimorphia; Didelphidae. The record is from RNAcentral.